AAACUUUUAGUUUAUUUUGAAUAUUUCACUUACAAUGAAAAGGUUUAUAAAGUUUU
RNAcentral lists this transfer RNA (56 nucleotides) under Stephanurus dentatus. RNAcentral describes it as "tRNA-Val". Lineage: Eukaryota; Metazoa; Nematoda; Chromadorea; Rhabditida; Stephanuridae. The record is from RNAcentral.